GAUGAACGCUAGCGGCAGGCUUAAUACAUGCAAGUCGAGGGGUAACACGGGUAGCAAUACCUGGUGACGACCGGCAAACGGGUGUGGAACACGUACAGAACCUUCCUUUAAGUGGGGGAGUAGCCCGGACGAAAUACCGGAUUAAUACCCCACUAGUAAUAUUGGGUGGCAUCACUUGAUAUUUAAAGUAUUUAUUGCUUAGAGAUGGCUGUGCGGCUGAUUAGGUAGUUGGUGUAGG
Molecule: ribosomal RNA, 238 nt
Filed under: uncultured bacterium
Lineage: Bacteria
Description: partial 16S ribosomal RNA
Rfam family: Bacterial small subunit ribosomal RNA
Source: RNAcentral